This 456-nucleotide long non-coding RNA is filed under the name Homo sapiens (human). RNAcentral's name for it is "HSALNT0048505". Lineage: Eukaryota; Metazoa; Chordata; Mammalia; Primates; Hominidae. The record is from RNAcentral.
CUGCUUCUGUCUUCUGAGUAACUGGGACUACAGACAUGUGCAACUGUGCCUGGCAGAUUUUUUUUUUAAUUGUUAGAGUGGCAUGAGGAAGGACUGUCUGUGGGCGUGCAACAGAAAGCACUGUAUUUGGAGUCUAAAGACACAGGUUCAUCUGCAGCAAAGACCCUGUGCCUGCUUUGUAACAUCAAGGGGUUCAUAUGAGAAGCAAUGUUACUUUAAAAUGCAAUUUAUUUAUAUUCUCUUACAAGAAUAAAUUUGAGGUGGCCUAUUCAAAGAAAUCUUGUUGAAAUAUUUUGUAAUCCAGGAACUACAUAUAUAUAUGUUAAAUAUGUGUGUGUGUGUGUGUGUGUGUGUGUGUGUGUGUGUGUGUGUAUUUAACAUUUACCUCCCCCGAAAAUUUAAGACCUCCCCUCCAACUUAAGUUACUUUCAUGUGACCAAAUUGCACAGUUUAUUA